This 168-nucleotide ribosomal RNA is filed under the name uncultured bacterium. Its description in RNAcentral is "partial 16S ribosomal RNA". It matches the Rfam family "Bacterial small subunit ribosomal RNA", at positions 364 to 524 of the family's 1533-position model. The record is from RNAcentral.
UUGGACAUGGGCGAAAGCCUGAUCCAGCCAUGCCGCGUGUGUGAAGAAGGUCUUCGGAUUGUAAAGCACUUUAAGUUGGGAGGAAGGGCAGUAACCUAAUACGUUGCUGUUUUGACGUUACCGACAGAAUAAGCACCGGCUAACUUUGUGCCACAGGCCCGCGGUAAU